RNAcentral lists this ribosomal RNA (223 nucleotides) under uncultured bacterium. RNAcentral's name for it is "partial 16S ribosomal RNA". It matches the Rfam family "Bacterial small subunit ribosomal RNA", at positions 524 to 746 of the family's 1533-position model. The record is from RNAcentral.
UACGUAGGGUGCAAGCGUUAAUCGGAAUUACUGGGCGUAAAGCGUGCGCAGGCGGUUUUGUAAGUCUGACGUGAAAUCCCCGGGCUCAACCUGGGAAUUGCGUUGGAGACUGCAAGGCUAGAAUCUGGCAGAGGGGGGUAGAAUUCCACGUGUAGCAGUGAAAUGCGUAGAGAUGUGGAGGAACACCGAUGGCGAAGGCAGCCCCCUGGGUCAAGAUUGACGC